ACAAAAUCAAAAAAAGGAGAGAGAACCCCAUAGAAGUUCUCUGUGUCUUCUUCUAUCACUUUCCCCUUUUGAAACCCUAAUUAUCUUCCUCAACCCGACUCACCGUUUCUCAGUUUCAAUUUCUCUCCAAUUUUCCUUAACUUUCUGUAAUCUCCUGAAUGCAGAUAUAGAUAUAUAGUAGCAAGGUUUGAUAAAUACUUGAUAGAAAUGUAUAGAGAUCGAGGAGGUGGCGGAGGAGGAGGUGGUGGUUCAUCGAAGUCGGAGAUGAUCGGUGGACCGUUGGAUCGGAAAAGAAUCAACGAUGCGUUGGAUAAGCACUUAGAGAAGUUGUCACCUUCUACAUCUAGGUCUUUGAAGGAUAAAGCUGUUCCCUCUACGUCAACCGGUGGUGGUGGUGGUGCUGGAAAAUCGCAUUUUGAUCAUCGUAAUACCAACAAAAACAAGUGCUCCGAUGAGGAAUCUGAAACGGACAGUGAAGAGUCUGAUGUUAGUGGUUCUGAUGGGGA
RNAcentral lists this unclassified non-coding RNA (506 nucleotides) under Hevea brasiliensis (rubber tree). Lineage: Eukaryota; Viridiplantae; Streptophyta; Magnoliopsida; Malpighiales; Euphorbiaceae. The record is from RNAcentral.